AAAGAAAUCAACCGAGAUUCCCCCAGUAGCGGCGAGCGAACGGGGAGCAGCCCAGAGCCUGAAUCAGUGUGUGUGUUAGUGGAAGCGUCUGGAAAGGCGCGCGAUACAGGGUGACAGCCCCGUACACAAAAAUGCACAUGCUGUGAGCUCGAUGAGUAGGGCGGGACACGUGGUAUCCUGUCUGAAUAUGGGGGGACCAUCCUCCAAGGCUAAAUACUCCUGACUGACCGAUAGUGAACCAGUACCGUGAGGGAAAGGCGAAAAGAACCCCGGCGAGGGGAGUGAAAAAGAACCUGAAACCGUGUACGUACAAGCAGUGGGAGCCUCUUUUAUGGGGUGACUGCGUACCUUUUGUAUAAUGGGUCAGCGACUUAUAUUCUGUAGCAAGGUUAACCGAAUAGGGGAGCCGAAGGGAAACCGAGUCUUAACUGGGCGUUAAGUUGCAGGGUAUAGACCCGAAACCCGGUGAUCUAGCCAUGGGCAGGUUGAAGGUUGGGUAACACUAACUGGAGGACCGAACCGACUAAUGUUGAAAAAUUAGCGGAUGACUUGUGGCUGGGGGUGAAAGGCCAAUCAAACCGGGAGAUAGCUGGUUCUCCCCGAAAGCUAUUUAGGUAGCGCCUCGUGAAUUCAUCUCCGGGGGUAGAGCACUGUUUCGGCAAGGGGGUCAUCCCGACUUACCAACCCGAUGCAAACUGCGAAUACCGGAGAAUGUUAUCACGGGAGACACACGGCGGGUGCUAACGUCCGUCGUGAAGAGGGAAACAACCCAGACCGCCAGCUAAGGUCCCAAAGUCAUGGUUAAGUGGGAAACGAUGUGGGAAGGCCCAGACAGCCAGGAUGUUGGCUUAGAAGCAGCCAUCAUUUAAAGAAAGCGUAAUAGCUCACUGGUCGAGUCGGCCUGCGCGGAAGAUGUAACGGGGCUAAACCAUGCACCGAAGCUGCGGCAGCGACGCUUAUGCGUUGUUGGGUAGGGGAGCGUUCUGUAAGCCUGUGAAGGUGUGCUGUGAGGCAUGCUGGAGGUAUCAGAAGUGCGAAUGCUGACAUAAGUAACGAUAAAGCGGGUGAAAAGCCCGCUCGCCGGAAGACCAAGGGUUCCUGUCCAACGUUAAUCGGGGCAGGGUGAGUCGACCCCUAAGGCGAGGCCGAAAGGCGUAGUCGAUGGGAAACAGGUUAAUAUUCCUGUACUUGGUGUUACUGCGAAGGGGGGACGGAGAAGGCUAUGUUGGCCGGGCGACGGUUGUCCCGGUUUAAGCGUGUAGGCUGGUUUUCCAGGCAAAUCCGGAAAAUCAAGGCUGAGGCGUGAUGACGAGGCACUACGGUGCUGAAGCAACAAAUGCCCUGCUUCCAGGAAAAGCCUCUAAGCAUCAGGUAACAUCAAAUCGUACCCCAAACCGACACAGGUGGUCAGGUAGAGAAUACCAAGGCGCUUGAGAGAACUCGGGUGAAGGAACUAGGCAAAAUGGUGCCGUAACUUCGGGAGAAGGCACGCUGAUAUGUAGGUGAAGCGACUUGCUCGUGGAGCUGAAAUCAGUCGAAGAUACCAGCUGGCUGCAACUGUUUAUUAAAAACACAGCACUGUGCAAACACGAAAGUGGACGUAUACGGUGUGACGCCUGCCCGGUGCCGGAAGGUUAAUUGAUGGGGUCAGCGCAAGCGAAGCUCUUGAUCGAAGCCCCGGUAAACGGCGGCCGUAACUAUAACGGUCCUAAGGUAGCGAAAUUCCUUGUCGGGUAAGUUCCGACCUGCACGAAUGGCGUAAUGAUGGCCAGGCUGUCUCCACCCGAGACUCAGUGAAAUUGAACUCGCUGUGAAGAUGCAGUGUACCCGCGGCAAGACGGAAAGACCCCGUGAACCUUUACUAUAGCUUGACACUGAACAUUGAGCCUUGAUGUGUAGGAUAGGUGGGAGGCUUUGAAGUGUGGACGCCAGUCUGCAUGGAGCCGACCUUGAAAUACCACCCUUUAAUGUUUGAUGUUCUAACGUUGACCCGUAAUCCGGGUUGCGGACAGUGUCUGGUGGGUAGUUUGACUGGGGCGGUCUCCUCCUAAAGAGUAACGGAGGAGCACGAAGGUUGGCUAAUCCUGGUCGGACAUCAGGAGGUUAGUGCAAUGGCAUAAGCCAGCUUGACUGCGAGCGUGACGGCGCGAGCAGGUGCGAAAGCAGGUCAUAGUGAUCCGGUGGUUCUGAAUGGAAGGGCCAUCGCUCAACGGAUAAAAGGUACUCCGGGGAUAACAGGCUGAUACCGCCCAAGAGUUCAUAUCGACGGCGGUGUUUGGCACCUCGAUGUCGGCUCAUCACAUCCUGGGGCUGAAGUAGGUCCCAAGGGUAUGGCUGUUCGCCAUUUAAAGUGGUACGCGAGCUGGGUUUAGAACGUCGUGAGACAGUUCGGUCCCUAUCUGCCGUGGGCGCUGGAGAACUGAGGGGGGCUGCUCCUAGUACGAGAGGACCGGAGUGGACGCAUCACUGGUGUUCGGGUUGUCAUGCCAAUGGCACUGCCCGGUAGCUAAAUGCGGAAGAGAUAAGUGCUGAAAGCAUCUAAGCACGAAACUUGCCCCGAGAUGAGUUCUCCCUGACUCCUUGAGAGUCCUGAAGGAACGUUGAAGACGACGACGUUGAUAGGCCGGGUGUGUAAGCGCAGCGAUGCGUUGAGCUAACCGGUACUAAUGAACCGUGAG
This 2678-nucleotide ribosomal RNA is filed under the name Escherichia coli. Its description in RNAcentral is "partial 23S ribosomal RNA". It matches the Rfam family "Bacterial large subunit ribosomal RNA". The record is from RNAcentral. Lineage: Bacteria; Pseudomonadati; Pseudomonadota; Gammaproteobacteria; Enterobacterales; Enterobacteriaceae.